CCUACGGGAGGCAGCAGUGGGGAAUUUUGGACAAUGGGCGAAAGCCUGAUCCAGCAAUGCCGCGUGUGGGAAGAAGGCCUUCGGGUUGUAAACCACUUUUGUACGGAACGAAACGGUUCGCUUUAAUACAGUGGGCUAAUGACGGUACCGUAAGAAUAAGCACCGGCUAACUACGUGCCAGCAGCCGCGGUAAUACGUAGGGUGCGAGCGUUAAUCGGAAUUACUGGGCGUAAAGCGUGCGCAGGCGGUUAUAUAAGACAGUUGUGAAAUCCCCGGGNUCAACCUGGGAAUUGCAUCUGUGACUGUAUAGCUAGAGUACGGUAGAGGGGGAUGGAAUUCCGCGUGUAGCAGUGAAAUGCGUAGAUAUGCGGAGGAACACCGAUGGCGAAGGCAAUCCCCUGGACCUGUACUGACGCUCAUGCACGAAAGCGUGGGGAGCAAACAGGAUUAGAUACCCUGGUAGUCCACGCCCUAAACGAUGUCAACUGGUUGUUGGGUGCAUUAGUACUCAGUAACGAAGCUAACGCGUGAAGUUGACCGCCUGGGGAGUACGGCCGCAAGGUUGAAACUUAAAGGAAUUGACCGGNGNGAGACGUGCGAGGACGACGACGAGGGAGGAG
Molecule: ribosomal RNA, 620 nt
Filed under: uncultured bacterium
Lineage: Bacteria
Description: bacterial SSU rRNA
Rfam family: Bacterial small subunit ribosomal RNA
Source: RNAcentral